GCGGAUGUGGAGGCCACCUGCCACAAGCCUCGAGACACAACAGUUUGGCUGGGCUCUCUCCCCUGAGCCAUGGUCGGCAACCCAAGUUUGUUCUUCAGAUCAUCAAAAUAUUGGUUGGGAGUGACUGUCUCUUAUCCGGUUCAUAAUAUUCUAGCUGUCACAGUCGUCUUAAUGACCCCCAAAUUUCUUCAAUUAUAUCUCUUCUUUGUGUGGAGAUCAUGUGAUAUUAUAAAAUGAUUCAUGAAAUAUCUUGCUUCACUGAUGGAGUAACAUAUCAGAAGGAAUGUUAAUAUCUUAUUUGAUUUGUUUAUACAGAUCUUCGGACAAAGUGGGGAGAGAGAGUAGCAGAUUGGGGAAGCUUUGGACCAUUGGUUUCAGCAAGGCACGGGUAAUGAUUGUUGCGUUCUAUAAACGGUGACUGCUGGUUGAUGUCAAAUUAACUCAUGCAAUGGUCUAAUCUACCAGAUCCAUGAGUUUUCGUGGUCUCUUGUCUGUUUAUUCUAUUUCUUGGGUGGUUUUGGAUAUUUUGCACUCAAUGGGAUAAAUUGUGUAUGUUGAUCGUCGUGCCCAUCCAUCUGCCUCGCUGCGAAGCUGUCUACUUGCUCGCCUGGUCGUAGCCAUCGAGUUAGGUGAGAUUAGGCACAAAAAAAAAAACAAUCGCCUCUGAAAUCAAGACUGUGAUCUUGAUCCAAGGUGAGAUUAGAAAAAAAAACAGUUUCAUUGAGCCUGACAAAAUAUAGAUACAGUUAGAGGUGAUAUAGGAGGUAACAUUAAUUCUAGAGACACCAGUCAGUGGCCAUUUUUCAUUUUCCUUUAUGUUAAGAUGAAUUGAAGGAAAGUACUUUCAUUGAUACAGCAUUAGUACCAUAUUUCUUUUUUAUCAUCAAGCAUCAAAGAGUUUUAUAUGUUUUUAGGGAUAGAAACCAUUAAUUCUAGAGACACCAGUCAGUGGCCAUUUUUUAUUUUCCUUUAUGUUAAGAUGAAUUGAAGGAAAGUACUUUCAUUGAUACAGCAUUAGUACCAUAUUUCUUUUUUAUCAUCAAGCAUCAAAGAGUUUUAUAUGUUUUUAGGGAUAGAAACACAUAAGGAUAUGUUGUCAUCUGUUAAACUGUACUAGCAUGU
Lolium rigidum is the source of this 1122-nucleotide long non-coding RNA. RefSeq lists it as uncharacterized. The record is from RefSeq and is a predicted model, not a curated record. The transcript has 3 exons. Lineage: Eukaryota; Viridiplantae; Streptophyta; Magnoliopsida; Poales; Poaceae.